CCCUUAGAUGUUCUGGGCCGCACGCGCGCUACACUGACGAAUGCAACGAGCUUAUAACCUUGGCCGAAAGGUCUGGGUAAUCUCCAAAUUUCGUCGUGAUGGGGAUAGAUUAUUGCAAUUAUUAAUCUUCAACGAGGACUGCCUAGUAAGCGCAAGUCAUCAGCUUGCAUUGAUUACGUCCCUGCCCUUUGUACACACCACCCGUCGCUCCUACCGAUUGAAUGGUCCGGUGAAGCGUUCGGACCGUGGCCUUUGGACGGUUCGCCGUCUGUUGGCUGCGGGAAGUUCGUUAAACCUUAUCAUUUAGAGGAAGGAGAANUCGUANCA
This 327-nucleotide ribosomal RNA is filed under the name uncultured eukaryote. RNAcentral describes it as "partial 18S ribosomal RNA". It matches the Rfam family "Eukaryotic small subunit ribosomal RNA", at positions 1470 to 1796 of the family's 1831-position model. The record is from RNAcentral.